AUUGAACGCUGGCGGCGUGCUUAACACAUGCAAGUCGAUCGGUAACAGGUGUAGCAAUACAUGCUGACGAGAGGCGGACGGGUGAGUAAUGCUUGGGAAUCUGCCUAUUAGUGGGGGACGAACCCGGGAAACGUACGGGCGUAAUACCGCAUACGCUCUACGGAGGAAAGCCGGGGACCGGCAAGGCCUGGCGCUAAUAGAUGAGCCCAAGUCGGAUUAGCUAGUUGGUAGGGUAACGGCCUACCAAGGCGACAAUCCGUAGCUGGUCUGAGAGGACGACCAGCCACACCGGAACUGAGACACGGUCCGGACUCCUACGGGAGGCAGCAGU
Molecule: ribosomal RNA, 331 nt
Filed under: uncultured bacterium
Lineage: Bacteria
Description: bacterial SSU rRNA
Rfam family: Bacterial small subunit ribosomal RNA
Source: RNAcentral